Molecule: ribosomal RNA, 233 nt
Filed under: uncultured bacterium
Lineage: Bacteria
Description: partial 16S ribosomal RNA
Rfam family: Bacterial small subunit ribosomal RNA
Source: RNAcentral
UACGUAGGGUGCGAGCGUUUAAUCGGAAUUACUGGGCGUAAAGCGUGCGCAGGCGGUUCGUUGUGUCGGCGGUGAAAGCCCCGGGCUUAACCUGGGAAUGGCCGUUGAAACUGGCGAACUGGAGUGUGGCAGAGGGGGGUGGAAUUCCGCGUGUAGCAGUGAAAUGCGUAGAGAUGCGGAGGAACACCGAUGGCGAAGGCAGCCCCCUGGGCUGACACUGACGCCUCAGGCAC